Molecule: transfer-messenger RNA, 343 nt
Filed under: Mollicutes bacterium
Lineage: Bacteria; Bacillati; Mycoplasmatota; Mollicutes
Also listed under: 1 other name
Rfam family: transfer-messenger RNA
About the family: Bacterial tmRNA, also known as 10Sa RNA or SsrA, is named for its dual tRNA and mRNA-like properties. Its role is to liberate the mRNA from a stalled ribosome. To accomplish this part of the tmRNA is used as a reading frame that ends in a translation stop signal.
Source: RNAcentral
GGGGCUGUUUGGUUUCGACAGAAAUAAUAAGGCUUAGAUGGCAAGUCGUAGGUAUGCGUUAAAUCCAUCAGUUUAAUAACUGGAAAUAAUAAAUUAGCAUUCGCUGCUUAAUAAAAUAAUGGCGAGCUUUUUCUGUUUUCUUUCUCACAGAAAAUAUUAAGAGCGCAUUAAAGUGAGAUAUAUUAUUUUCUUUGUUUAGGAGAAAUAAUGAAAAUAACUAAACUAGUUAAUGAUUGGUUGUUAAUUGCUAUAAUUAUUAAUGAAUUUAAACAAUUAACUAAGCUUGUAGAAGUCUUCGAUUUUAUGUUUUUGGACAGGGGUUCAAUUCCCCUCAGCUCCACCA